UGUAUAAUGGGUCAGCGACUUAUAUUCUGUAGCAAGGUUAACCGAAUAGGGGAGCCGAAGGGAAACCGAGUCUUAACUGGGCGUUAAGUUGCAGGGUAUAGACCCGAAACCCGGUGAUCUAGCCAUGGGCAGGUUGAAGGUUGGGUAACACUAACUGGAGGACCGAACCGACUAAUGUUGAAAAAUUAGCGGAUGACUUGUGGCUGGGGGUGAAAGGCCAAUCAAACCGGGAGAUAGCUGGUUCUCCCCGAAAGCUAUUUAGGUAGCGCCUCGUGAAUUCAUCUCCGGGGGUAGAGCACUGUUUCGGCAAGGGGGUCAUCCCGACUUACCAACCCGAUGCAAACUGCGAAUACCGGAGAAUGUUAUCACGGGAGACACACGGCGGGUGCUAACGUCCGUCGUGAAGAGGGAAACAACCCAGACCGCCAGCUAAGGUCCCAAAGUCAUGGUUAAGUGGGAAACGAUGUGGGAAGGCCCAGACAGCCAGGAUGUUGGCUUAGAAGCAGCCAUCAUUUAAAGAAAGCGUAAUAGCUCACUGGUCGAGUCGGCCUGCGCGGAAGAUGUAACGGGGCUAAACCAUGCACCGAAGCUGCGGCAGCGACACUAUGUGUUGUUGGGUAGGGGAGCGUUCUGUAAGCCUGUGAAGGUGUACUGUGAGGUAUGCUGGA
RNAcentral lists this ribosomal RNA (668 nucleotides) under Escherichia coli. Its description in RNAcentral is "partial 23S ribosomal RNA". It matches the Rfam family "Bacterial large subunit ribosomal RNA", at positions 609 to 1277 of the family's 2925-position model. The record is from RNAcentral. Lineage: Bacteria; Pseudomonadati; Pseudomonadota; Gammaproteobacteria; Enterobacterales; Enterobacteriaceae.